This is a long non-coding RNA of Cyprinus carpio carpio, 517 nucleotides long. NCBI's taxonomy places the organism in Eukaryota, Metazoa, Chordata, Actinopteri, Cypriniformes, Cyprinidae. The record is from Ensembl.
UCCAGAACCAGAAGAUGCUGCAGGACUUUCAGAGAGCACAAGACAUGCUCAAUGACAUGGUGGCCCGCACCGAAGCCAUGAACCCUAUACGGGUUCAGUAUGAACAGUAUCUGGAAGAGAACUUCCCACAAUGGCAGCAAAGACUCAAAAGACAUAAGAGUUUCUGAAAACUCAAAGUUGCUUUUUAUGGGAAGGUCAUUUCUUUUAAAAGGUGUCAUGACAAACAUGAACAAAACUCAGGUACUACAGCACUUAAAGAACAAUAUUCAGCAGAAGUCUGACUUUAGAGGCAAUCUUCUGUCCUCCAAUUUUCCAGAACCAUCUCAGCCUUCUCAUAUAUGCUAAACACUCAUCAGACAGGGAAAGACAUCAAGCAAAAUACUGAAAGACGCAACCAUCAUCCUUAAAUUCCACCCACUUGGUUAACUGGCUCUCAGUCUUUUAUUUCCGAACUCCCCCAAAACAGUAUCCCACAGGAUUACAAAAACCUUCACAACAUUCAAGCCUUGAAUCAUCC